This 266-nucleotide ribosomal RNA is filed under the name uncultured eukaryote. Its description in RNAcentral is "partial small subunit ribosomal RNA". It matches the Rfam family "Eukaryotic small subunit ribosomal RNA", at positions 587 to 858 of the family's 1831-position model. The record is from RNAcentral.
AGCUCCAAUAGCGUAUAUUAAAGUUGUUGCGGUUAAAAAGCUCGUAGUUGGAUUUCUGUUGAGGUCAGCCGGUGUGCUCCAUGAGCAUUAUUUGGUUUGGUCUCGGCAUCCUCCUGGGGAGCGUCUCUGGCCUUCGUUGGACAGGGCGAGAUUCAGGACUUUUACUUUGAGGAAAUUAGAGUGUUCACGGCAGGCAAGUGCUUUGAAUACAUUAGCAUGGAAUAAUAAUAUAGGACCUUCGUUCUAUUUUGUUGGUUUCUAGAGCU